This 253-nucleotide ribosomal RNA is filed under the name uncultured bacterium. RNAcentral's name for it is "partial 16S ribosomal RNA". It matches the Rfam family "Bacterial small subunit ribosomal RNA", at positions 524 to 776 of the family's 1533-position model. The record is from RNAcentral.
UACGUAGGGUGCGAGCGUUAUCCGGAAUUAUUGGGCGUAAAGAGCUCGUAGGCGGUUUGUCGCGUCUGUCGUGAAAGUCCGGGGCUUAACCCCGGAUCUGCGGUGGGUACGGGCAGACUAGAGUGCAGUAGGGGAGACUGGAAUUCCUGGUGUAGCGGUGGAAUGCGCAGAUAUCAGGAGGAACGCCGAUGGCGAAGGCAGGUCUCUGGGCUGUAACUGACGCUGAGGAGCGAAAGCAUGGGGAGCGAACAGG